Brassica napus (rape) is the source of this 1054-nucleotide long non-coding RNA. RefSeq lists it as uncharacterized. The transcript has 5 exons. NCBI's taxonomy places the organism in Eukaryota, Viridiplantae, Streptophyta, Magnoliopsida, Brassicales, Brassicaceae. The record is from RefSeq and is a predicted model, not a curated record.
AAGUGUGAUUAGUAGGCUUAGGAUAAAUCGGCCCGUUCUUCUUCCACUUCGUCGAGUAAGCCACCACUCCCCGGCGGAUCAUUUUCUUAAGCGAUCUUUUCGACUCCUCCAUGUUCUCUAACGACUAGCGAUUCUUCUUGCCCGGGUAUAUCCUCCAUAGAAGAAUCGCGUCAACGCCGUCUCUUUCCAGUUCUUUCAAUACUACCAACAGUUGGUCGUCUUCUAUUCAGUUUAUCUAUUCAAUUUCAGCCAGAUACGGUUGUAGCGAAGGAAGGUUAAUUUUCUGAGGCAAGAAGAGGCUCUAACGCUGCCGUGGAAGAGAAAAAAAAAAGAUUUCUUCUGGUUCAGACCACCAUGCAAGUAAAGUAAAGUGGUUGUUCUUAAAGUGUCUCUUCACUGUCGCUGCAGAGGCUGUGAAGGCAAAGUGAAGAAACGUCUAUCUAGAAUGCAAGGGAGCUGGUGGACCAGAGGAGGAAGAUAAUUGAUGGCCGCCAUGCCUAAAACCUCUGCUUAAAGAGCAGUUCUUUGUUCACUGCAAGGUUCAUGUAGACUUUCACAAGGGUGAUUGCAAUCUUAGACUGCACCAACGGUGAGCUUUGCUCUCUUUGUCUUGCCCAUCACAAAGACCACCUCACCAUCCAAUCCAACACAAGGUGUAGGUUGUUUAUGUGAUCUAUGGAGCAUUAUGUGUUGCAGAGAGAGAGAGAGAGAGAGUUCCUGCUCAGAAAGGUGGAACUGCAGAAGCACAAUGAGAUUGAGAAAAGAGCAGCAGCUGAUGUGGCUUCAGCCUUGGAAUCUUACGAAGCAGACAAUGGAGAUGGCUACAAUGCUCAUUACCUCAUGAAGAGCACAAUCAUGAGCGGUUGUAAAUGCAUCGAUGUCCAAUCUAAAACCCUCAAAUAAAAGCAUAGGGUCUUGAAAGGAACAUGAAAAUGUAGCUUACUUAUUGUUGUUAUGUACUUUUUGUUUUCAAGGCACCAUUGCUCAGCAGAAGAAAACGAUCGUUAACAGAGUUUACUGAUAAGAAUUUAUAAGGCUCUAAUAUUCAUAUUUA